AUUUGUAUAGUUUAAAAAAAACAUUAUAUUUUCAUUAUAAAAAUAUUAUUUUACAAAUA
RNAcentral lists this transfer RNA (59 nucleotides) under Gynaikothrips uzeli. Its description in RNAcentral is "tRNA-Glu". The record is from RNAcentral. Lineage: Eukaryota; Metazoa; Arthropoda; Insecta; Thysanoptera; Phlaeothripidae.